Long non-coding RNA from Poeciliopsis prolifica (blackstripe livebearer), 380 nucleotides. RefSeq lists it as uncharacterized. The record is from RefSeq and is a predicted model, not a curated record. The transcript is spliced from 3 exons. NCBI's taxonomy places the organism in Eukaryota, Metazoa, Chordata, Actinopteri, Cyprinodontiformes, Poeciliidae.
UGGGUGUGCAUGUCUUGCAGCAACUAUACCCCUGGUGAUUUAUCCUCUUUCUACACCAGAACAACACUAAACCAUUAGGACAGAGCAAAAAAGAAAAAAAGAGGUCUGGAUAGGAGGGAACACAGCCUGUUCAAUGUCACACACAGUCCCAUCUAUAAUGAUUAAGCGGGGGUCCAGAACUCUUUGAGCAGUAGCAGCGAGCUCGGUGAUGAGUUGCAUGAAGUGCCUCCGCUCCUUUACUUCACCUUCCCAAAAAGCUUUUGAACGACCAGGAACAAGCAAACGAGUGCAGACACAGCUGCCAUGGCUGGUUGAGGGGAUAGGGAGAGACGUAAGCAGGCAUGCAAAGCUCCACAUCAUGACUCCGGGCUCCAAGGUAG